GCAAAUGAACAAUGUGCCGAGAGAGGAGUUUCAUGAGCAUAUGAGAAGGUUGGGAAAUCUCAACCAUCCCAACCUUCUUCCGCUUGUGGCCUAUUAUUAUAGAAAAGAAGAGAAGCUCCUCCUCUCUGCCUUUGUUCACAACGGUUGCUUGGCUAGCCACCUUCAUGGUAAUCAUAACCAUGAAAGGCCGGGGCUUGAUUGGUCAACCCGAUUAAAAAUUGUCAAAGGGGUAGCAAGGGGUUUGGCUUACCUAUACAAUGCACUCCCAAGCCUGAUUGUACCUCAUGGCCAUCUUAAAUCUUCCAAUGUGUUGUUGGAUGAAUUAUUUGAGCCCCUACUCACUGAUUAUGCCCUCAGUCCAGUCAUCAAUCUUGACCAUGCCCAACAAAUCAUCAUGCCUUACAAAUCUCCCGAGUAUGCUCAACUUGGUCGCAUUACAAAGAAAACUGACGUAUGGAGUUUUGGAAUUCUCAUAUUGGAGAUCUUGACGGGCAAAUUCCCUGAGAACUAUAUCGCACACAGGCAUAAUACUGAUGCUGACAUAUCCAGUUGGGUAAAUAUGUUAAUUACCGAGAAGCGGACGAGUGAAGUGUUUGACGUAGAGAUGGGAGGAAUCGGAAAUAGUAAAGCUGAAUUGCUCAAACUUUUAAAGAUUGGUUUGAGUUGUUGCGAGGAGAAUGUGGAAAGAAGGUUGGAUAUCAAGGAAGCUCUUCAGCAGAUUGAAGACUUGAAAGAAACUGAAAAUGAUGGAGAUCAGUACUCUUCAUCUCUCAUCACCACCGAGAGGGAUGCUUAUAGAGCUGUGUGAUUGUACGUACGUGUGGAAGGUGGCUUUCCCAAGCCAUGAAGAUCAAUCAAUAUAUAUGCUAUUAAUUAACCUUCAAUUCUUUAAAUUAUUAAUUAGUUUUUGUGUCUAUGUCUUUUAAUUUCUUUCUUGUUAUCAUAACAUAGGUAUUUGCAGUGAUUUCUCUAACUCAACUCCAUGUUGUAUUGUCUAAAUAGAACUAGCUAUAGUUAGCUUUUGCCCUCUCUCUUUCGCAAUUCACUGCAUGAAAUACCAGUUAAAUUGUGCAAAACUGAUAGAAUCUCAAUAGUUAGUAGUUGGUAGAGUCAUGUGUUGGAAAAAUAAGGAUAAGGAAGGUGCCACUAUUUAUUAUCGAAUUAUUAAUCAUGGAAAAUGCAAUCUAGGUGAAUGGACACGGUUUCACAGCUCAAAUGACAUACGAAAGAAAGGAGGAAGAAAAAUCAGAGGACCUCCUUACAGCUCUCGGCACACAUCUCAACUUGAGAAAACACCUAAAAUUAAGCUGUCAUUCUCGAUCCGUUUAUUCCUUUGUUUCAUUUCUUGUCAAUCUUUCCUUCCGCGUCCGCAUCACCAACCUAGCUCUUUCUUAGCUCCUAACAGCACCAUCAUCAUCAUCACCUUGCUUGGCCCUAUUCGCCUUUUAAUUUGAUUAGAGAUGGUGCUGUAAGAUAAUAAUAAUAAUAAUAAUAAUAAUAAAAACAAAAGAGUGUGAGAGAGAAAAGAAUGACAUGCAGCCAAAUCAUAUUAAUAUUAUCAUUACCGGUGACACCUUCUUUAGAAUAAGAGAAUCAUUGUUGUGGGUUUUGGUGGCUGAUCUCUUGUCCUCUCAUUAUCAUUGUCAUCUUCGAUGCUAAUGGGCGCGCGCUAUGCUCCGCUUGUGCGCGCACCCACAGCAUUAAUAUUGGCCUUGGUUGUUUUGGUAUUGGUUUCAUCAUCAUGUGCAGCUGGAGGCGCAAGCGGCGAUGCAGAGGCAUUAUGGAAUUUCAGGGAUUCAUUGACAAAUGUGGUAGCACUUAGCAGUUGGGAUCCAUCCAUAAACCCAAAGCCACCUUGCUCUGGCAAUAUUCCUAACUGGGUGGGGUUGUUUUGUAUUAAUGACAAGGUUUGGGGGUUGCGGCUUGAGAACAUUGGGCUAACGGGCAACAUUGACGUGGGAUCUCUAGGUUCAAUGUCUGCUCUUCGGAUGAUUAGCCUAAUGAACAAUACAUUUGUGGGUCCUUUGCCCAACCUCAAGAUGCUGCCAAACUUGAAGGCCCUCUACUUGUCAUACAAUCAUUUCUCAGGACAUAUACCUGACGAUGCAUUUGUUGGUUUACAAAAGUUGAGGAAACUCUGUUUGGCCAAUAACGAGUUUACAGGUAAUAUUCCUUCUUCCAUCACUACCUUGCCUAGUCUCCUCGUUCUCAGACUUGACGCUAACAAGUUUCGAGGUCAAAUCCCCGCUUUUCAACACAAUCAUUUGAAGAUUAUCAAUCUCUCCAACAACGAGUUAGAGGGUCCUAUCCCCGCCAAUCUAACCGCCUUCGACGCCUCCUCCUUUAGCGGUAUGAUAUGACUAUAUACAUAUAUGCUAGUUAAUUAGUCUUGUCCAUCAGUCAUAUAUAUACUAAAGUCAAUUUGAAUUGCAGGCAACCCACGCCUAUGUGGGCCGCCUCUGAAGAAUGAGUGUGAAGAAGCUGUAGCCCCAGUCCCAACGCAGGAGAGUACUACUUCAACUAAAAUGCGCGUUAUGAAAAUUUUACUUAUUCUGAUCGUGAUCGCAUUCAUAAUAGCCAUCCUGGUUUCAGUAUUGGCCAUAUGUCGCUUGAGAUCCCAAAAGCAGCUGCAACAGCCAGAUCAUCAUCAUCAUCAGUCGUCGUUCACCAACAAACACAUUCCUCCUCAUCCCGUUUUUGUGAAAACCAAAAGCCUAGCUGAACACUAUGAUGCUAGUCCUAAGCAUGUGUCAUCAGAUCAUCAUAGUCAUGGACAUUCUUCCAAGAAGGAGAAGGGGGAACAGAGCAAGCUUAUAUUCUUGAGGCAGGACCAACUCAAGUUUGAUUUACAAGAUUUGCUAAGGGCCUCCGCUGAAAUUCUAGGCAGUGCCUCAUUUGGUUCUUCCUACAAGGCAGUGGUUUUGGAUGGCCAAGCCGUGGUUGUUAAAAGGUACAAGCAAAUGAACAAUGUGCCGAGAGAGGAGUUUCAUGAGCAUAUGAGAAGGUUGGGAAAUCUCAACCAUCCCAACCUUCUUCCGCUUGUGGCCUAUUAUUAUAGAAAAGAAGAGAAGCUCCUCCUCUCUGCCUUUGUUCACAACGGUUGCUUGGCUAGCCACCUUCAUGGUAAUCAUAACCAUGAAAGGCCGGGGCUUGAUUGGUCAACCCGAUUAAAAAUUGUCAAAGGGGUAGCAAGGGGUUUGGCUUACCUAUACAAUGCACUCCCAAGCCUGAUUGUACCUCAUGGCCAUCUUAAAUCUUCCAAUGUGUUGUUGGAUGAAUUAUUUGAGCCCCUACUCACUGAUUAUGCCCUCAGUCCAGUCAUCAAUCUUGACCAUGCCCAACAAAUCAUCAUGCCUUACAAAUCUCCCGAGUAUGCUCAACUUGGU
This 3386-nucleotide long non-coding RNA is filed under the name Lotus japonicus. Its description in RNAcentral is "long non-coding RNA (LJAP_LNC000172)". Lineage: Eukaryota; Viridiplantae; Streptophyta; Magnoliopsida; Fabales; Fabaceae. The record is from RNAcentral.